GAUGAAGAACGCAGCGAAAUGCGAUACGUAAUGUGAAUUGCAGAAUUCAGUGAAUCAUCGAAUCUUUGAACGCAUAUUGCGCUCUCUGGUAUUCCGGAGAGCAUGCUUGUUUGAGUAUCAGUAAACACCUCAACUUCCAUAUCUUUUUUGAAAUGGGAGUUGGACUAGAGUGAUCCCAACGCUUUUCCUCACCGAAAAGUGGCGGGUUACUUGAAAUGCAGGUGCAGCUGGACUUUUCUCUGAGCUAUAAGCAUAUCUAUUUAGUCUGCCUAAAAAACAGAUUAUUACCUUUGCUGCAGCUAACAUAAAGGAGAUCAGUUCUUGUGCUGACUGAUGCAGGAUUCACAAAGACAGGCUUCGGCCGACUUUGUAAACUCGAUCUCAAAUCAAGUAAGACUACCCGCUGAACUUAAGCAUAUCAAUAAGCGGAGGA
This 433-nucleotide unclassified non-coding RNA is filed under the name soil metagenome. RNAcentral's name for it is "partial contains 5.8S ribosomal RNA, internal transcribed spacer 2, and large subunit ribosomal RNA". The stretch from base 1 to 120 matches the Rfam family "5.8S ribosomal RNA", at positions 35 to 154 of the family's 154-position model. The record is from RNAcentral.